This 482-nucleotide ribosomal RNA is filed under the name uncultured bacterium. Its description in RNAcentral is "partial 16S ribosomal RNA". It matches the Rfam family "Bacterial small subunit ribosomal RNA", at positions 30 to 507 of the family's 1533-position model. The record is from RNAcentral.
AUUGAACGCUGGCGGCAGGCCUAACACAUGCAAGUCGAGCGGAUGAAGGGAGCUUGCUCCUGGAUUCAGCGGCGGACGGGUGAGUAAUGCCUAGGAAUCUGCCUGGUAGUGGGGGAUAACGUCCGGAAACGGGCGCUAAUACCGCAUACGUCCUGAGGGAGAAAGUGGGGGAUCUUCGGACCUCACGCUAUCAGAUGAGCCUAGGUCGGAUUAGCUAGUUGGUGGGGUAAAGGCCUACCAAGGCGACGAUCCGUAACUGGUCUGAGAGGAUGAUCAGUCACACUGGAACUGAGACACGGUCCAGACUCCUACGGGAGGCAGCAGUGGGGAAUAUUGGACAAUGGGCGAAAGCCUGAUCCAGCCAUGCCGCGUGUGAAGAAGGUCUUCGGAUUGUAAAGCACUUUAAGUUGGGAGGAAGGGCAGUAAGUUAAUACCUUGCUGUUUUGACGUUACCAACAGAAUAAGCACCGGCUAACUUUGUG